This 504-nucleotide ribosomal RNA is filed under the name uncultured Geobacter sp. RNAcentral's name for it is "bacterial SSU rRNA". It matches the Rfam family "Bacterial small subunit ribosomal RNA", at positions 335 to 831 of the family's 1533-position model. The record is from RNAcentral. Lineage: Bacteria; Pseudomonadati; Thermodesulfobacteriota; Desulfuromonadia; Geobacterales; Geobacteraceae.
ACUCCUACGGGAGGCAGCAGUGGGGAAUUUUGCGCAAUGGGGGAAACCCUGACGCAGCAACGCCGCGUGAGUGAUGAAGGCCUUCGGGUCGUAAAGCUCUGUCAGAGGGGAAGAAAUGCAGGGUGCUAAUAUCACUUCUGUUUGACGGUACCCUCAAAGGAAGCACCGGCUAACUCCGUGCCAGCAGCCGCGGUAAUACGGAGGGUGCGAGCGUUGUUCGGAAUUAUUGGGCGUAAAGCGCGUGUAGGCGGUUUGUUAAGUCUGAUGUGAAAGCCCCGGGCUCAACCUGGGAAGUGCAUUGGAAACUGGCAGACUUGAAUACGGGAGAGGGCAGUGGAAUUCCUAGUGUAGGAGUGAAAUCCGUAGAUAUUAGGAGGAACACCGGCGGCGAAGGCGGCUGCCUGGACCGAUAUUGACGCUGAGACGCGAAAGCGUGGGGAGCAAACAGGAUUAGAUACCCUGGUAGUCCACGCCGUAAACGAUGAGAACUAGGUGUCGCGGGUA